RNAcentral lists this ribosomal RNA (468 nucleotides) under uncultured bacterium. Its description in RNAcentral is "partial 16S ribosomal RNA". It matches the Rfam family "Bacterial small subunit ribosomal RNA", at positions 28 to 507 of the family's 1533-position model. The record is from RNAcentral.
GAUGAACGCUGGCGGCGUGCUUAAUACAUGCAAGUCGAACGGAAAGGCCCUGCUUUUGUGUGGUGCUCGAGUGGCGAACGGGUGAGUAACACGUGAGUAACCUGUCCUUGACUUUGGGAUAACUUCAGGAAACUGGGGCUAAUAUCGGAUAGAAGCUCCUGCUGCAUGGGGGGGGUUGGAAAGUUUCGGCGGUUGGGGCUGGAAUCGCGGCUUAUCAGCUUGUUGGUGGGGUAGUGGCUUACCAAGGCUUUGACGGGUAGCCGGCCUGAGAGGGUGACCGGCCACAUUGGGACUGAGAUACGGCCCAGACUCCUACGGGAGGCAGCAGUGAGGAAUAUUGCACAAUGGGCGGAAGCCUGAUGCAGCAACGCCGCGUGCGGGAUGACGGCCUUCGGGUUGUAAACCGCUUUCGCCUGUGACGAAGCGUGAGUGACGGUAAUGGGUAAAGAAGCACCGGCUAACUACGUG